AUGGCGGUUGACUAUGGGAGCAGGGAGGAGAGGUGGAGCCUGGCCGGCACCACCGCGCUCGUCACCGGCGGUAGCAAAGGGAUUGGGCAUGCCAUCGUGGAGGAGCUUGCCGGGUUUGGGGCGAGGGUGCACACCUGCUCCCGGAAUGGGGCGGAGCUAGAGGAGUGCCGUCGACGGUGGGAGGAGAAGAACCUGCAGGUCACCGCCUCCGUCUGUGAUGUUUCCAUACGUGCCGACAGGGAGAAGCUUAUGGAAACAGUCCGAGAAACUUUCAAUGGCAAGCUUGACAUACUAGUGAACAAUGCAGGGCAAUUGCUCUUCAAGCCCACUACUGAAUGUACAGUGGAGGAAUACUCAAAUCUGCUAACCACCAACUUGGAGUCGAGCUUCCAUCUCAGCCAGCUCGCACACCCUCUUCUCAUACACGCUUCUAUUGCCGGAGGAGGCAGCAUCAUCAACAUGUCCUCCAUUGGAGGCUCAAUCGGCUAUGCAGGCUCCGCAAUUUAUGCUACCACAAAAGGUGCAAUGAACCAACUUACAAGGAGUUUGGCCACCGAGUGGGCCUCUGACAAGAUUCGUGUGAAUGGCAUCGCCCCAGGAUUUGUCACAACCGACAUGCUUAAAGAUAUAGAUACAGAGUACGUGAAGGAAGAGCACUCGAAGACCCCAUUGGGACGGAGCGGCAAGCCGGUGGAGAUAGCCUCGGCAGUGUCAUUUUUGUGUAUGCCGGCAGCUUCUUUCAUCACCGGCCAGAUCAUUUGCAUCGAUGGUGGUCGAACCAUUAGUGCUUAG
Molecule: ribosomal RNA, 792 nt
Filed under: Triticum aestivum (bread wheat)
Lineage: Eukaryota; Viridiplantae; Streptophyta; Magnoliopsida; Poales; Poaceae
Description: partial small subunit ribosomal RNA
Source: RNAcentral